CCUCGGGGGGCUGCAGUGGGGAAUAUUGGACAAUGGGCGCAAGCCUGAUCCAGCAAUACCGCGUGUGCGAAGAAGGCCUUAGGGUUGUAAAGCACUUUCAAUGGGGAGGAAAACCUACCGGUCAAUACCCGGUAGCUUGACAUUACCUGUAGAAGAAGCACCGGCUAACUCCGUGCCAGCAGCCGCGGUAAUACGGAGGGUGCAAGCGUUAAUCGGAAUUACUGGGAGUAGAGCCGUUAAAGCAGAUUUGAAAGCCCCGGGCGUAACCUGGGAACUGCAUUUGAAACUGGCGGACUAGAGUUGAGUAGAGGGGAGUGGAAUUUCAGGUGUAGCGGUGAAAUGCGUAGAUAUCUGAAGGAACACCAGUGGCGAAGGCGACUCCCUGGACUCAAACUGACGCUGAGGUACGAAAGCGUGGGUAGCAAACAGGAUUAGAUACCCGUGUAGUC
RNAcentral lists this ribosomal RNA (449 nucleotides) under uncultured bacterium. RNAcentral describes it as "partial 16S ribosomal RNA". It matches the Rfam family "Bacterial small subunit ribosomal RNA", at positions 339 to 795 of the family's 1533-position model. The record is from RNAcentral.